Molecule: ribosomal RNA, 253 nt
Filed under: uncultured bacterium
Lineage: Bacteria
Description: partial 16S ribosomal RNA
Rfam family: Bacterial small subunit ribosomal RNA
Source: RNAcentral
UACGUAGGGUGCAAGCAUUAAUCGGAAUUACUGGGCGUAAAGCGUGCGCAGGCGGCUUUGCAAGACAGAUGUGAAAUCCCCGGGCUUAACCUGGGAACUGCAUUUGUGACUGCAUGGCUGGAGUGCGGCAGAGGGGGAUGGAAUUCCGCGUGUAGCAGUGAAAUGCGUAGAUAUGCGGAGGAACACCGAUGGCGAAGGCAAUCCCCUGGGCCUGCACUGACGCUCAUGCACGAAAGCGUGGGGAGCAAACAGG